CCUACGGGUGACUGCAGUGGGGAAUAUUGGACAAUGGGGGGAACCCUGAUCCAGCGACGCCGCGUGAGUGAAGAAGUAUUUCGGUAUGUAAAGCUCUAUCAGCAGGGAAGAAAGAAAUGACGGUACCUGACUAAGAAGCCCCGGCUAACUACGUGCCAGCAGCCGCGGUAAUACGUAGGGGGCAAGCGUUAUCCGGAUUUACUGGGUGUAAAGGGAGCGUAGACGGCGAUGCAAGUCUGAAGUGAAAGGCGGGGGCCCAACCCCCGGACUGCUUUGGAAACUGUAUGGCUGGAGUGCAGGGGAGGUAAGUGGAAUUCCUAGUGUAGCGGUGAAAUGCGUAGAUAUUAGGAGGAACACCAGUGGCGAAGGCGGCUUACUGGACUGUAACUGACGUUGAGGCUCGAAAGCGUGGGGAGCAAACAGGAUUAGAUACCCCUGUAGUC
Molecule: ribosomal RNA, 443 nt
Filed under: uncultured bacterium
Lineage: Bacteria
Description: partial 16S ribosomal RNA
Rfam family: Bacterial small subunit ribosomal RNA
Source: RNAcentral